This 253-nucleotide ribosomal RNA is filed under the name uncultured bacterium. Its description in RNAcentral is "partial 16S ribosomal RNA". It matches the Rfam family "Bacterial small subunit ribosomal RNA", at positions 524 to 776 of the family's 1533-position model. The record is from RNAcentral.
GACGAACCGUGCGAACGUUGUUCGGAAUCACUGGGCUUAAAGGGCGCGUAGGCGGGCUGUCAAGUCUGGGGUGAAAUGCCGCGGCUCAACCUGGGAACUGCGUCCGAUACUGGAUGGCUUGAAUCCGGGAGAGGGAUGCAGAAUUCCAGGUGUAGCGGUGAAAUGCGUAGAUAUCUGGAGGAAUACCGGUGGCGAAGGCGGCAUCCUGGACCGGCAUUGACGCUGAGGAGCGAAAGCCAGGGGAGCAAACGGG